CAGUCGCCGCGGUAAUACGUAGGGUGCAAGCGUUAUCCGGAAUUAUUGGGCGUAAAGAGCUCGUAGGCGGUCUGUCGCGUCUGCUGUGAAAACUGGGGGCUCAACCCCCAGCCUGCAGUGGGUACGGGCAGACUAGAGUGCGGUAGGGGAGAUUGGAAUUCCUGGUGUAGCGGUGGAAUGCGCAGAUAUCAGGAGGAACACCGAUGGCGAAGGCAGAUCUCUGGGCCGUAACUGACGCUGAGGAGCGAAAGCGUGGGGAGCGAACAGGAUUAGAGACCCCUGUAGUCCCUGUCUCUUAUAC
This 301-nucleotide ribosomal RNA is filed under the name uncultured bacterium. RNAcentral's name for it is "partial 16S ribosomal RNA". It matches the Rfam family "Bacterial small subunit ribosomal RNA", at positions 509 to 807 of the family's 1533-position model. The record is from RNAcentral.